GUGAGGAAUAUUGGACAAUGGGCGCAAGCCUGAUCCAGCAAUGCCGCGUGGGUGAAGAAGGUCUUCGGAUCGUAAAGCCCUUUCGACAGGGACGAUGAUGACGGUACCUGUAGAAGAAGCCCCGGCUAACUUCGUGCCAGCAGCCGCGGUAAUACGAAGGGGGCUAGCGUUACUCGGAAUUACUGGGCGUAAAGGGCGCGUAGGCGGCUCUGUUAGUCAGGCGUGAAAUUCCUGGGCUUAACCUGGGGACUGCGCUUGAUACUGCAGGGCUUGAGGACGAGAGAGGGUGGUGGAAGUCCCAGUGUAGAGGUGAAAUUCGUAGAUAUUGGGAAGAACACCGGUGGCGAAGGCGACCACCUGGCUCGGUUCUGACGCUGAGGCGCGACAGCGUGGGGAGCAAACAGGAUUAGAAACCCGGGUAGUCC
This 425-nucleotide ribosomal RNA is filed under the name uncultured bacterium. Its description in RNAcentral is "partial 16S ribosomal RNA". It matches the Rfam family "Bacterial small subunit ribosomal RNA", at positions 354 to 796 of the family's 1533-position model. The record is from RNAcentral.